AGUGAACGCUGGCGGUAGGCCUAACACAUGCAAGUCGAACGGCAGCACAGUAAGAGCUUGCUCUUACGGGUGGCGAGUGGCGGACGGGUGAGGAAUACAUCGGAAUCUACUUUUUCGUGGGGGAUAACGUAGGGAAACUUACGCUAAUACCGCAUACGACCUACGGGUGAAAGCAGGGGAUCUUCGGACCUUGCGCGAUUGAAUGAGCCGAUGUCGGAUUAGCUAGUUGGCGGGGUAAAGGCCCACCAAGGCGACGAUCCGUAGCUGGUCUGAGAGGAUGAUCAGCCACACUGGACCUGAGACACGGUCCAGACUCCUACGGGAGGCAGCAGUGGGGAAUAUUGGACAAGGGGCGCAAGCCUGAUCCAGCCAUACCGCGUGGGUGAAGAAGGCCUUCGGGUUGUAAAGCCCUUUUGUUGGGAAAGAAAAGCAGCAGGUUAAUACCCCGCUGUUCUGACGGUACCAAAGAAUAAGCACCGGCUAACUUCGUG
This 491-nucleotide ribosomal RNA is filed under the name uncultured bacterium. RNAcentral describes it as "partial 16S ribosomal RNA". It matches the Rfam family "Bacterial small subunit ribosomal RNA", at positions 29 to 507 of the family's 1533-position model. The record is from RNAcentral.